This 452-nucleotide ribosomal RNA is filed under the name uncultured bacterium. RNAcentral describes it as "partial 16S ribosomal RNA". It matches the Rfam family "Bacterial small subunit ribosomal RNA", at positions 28 to 507 of the family's 1533-position model. The record is from RNAcentral.
GAUGAACGCUGGUGGCGUGCCUAACACAUGCAAGUCGAGCGAUUCUCUUCGGAGAAGAGCGGCGGACGGGUGAGUAACGCGUGGGUAACCUGCCCUGUACACACGGAUAACAUACCGAAAGGUAUGCUAAUACGAGAUAACAUGCUUUUAUCGCAUGGUAGAAGUAUCAAAGCUUUUGCGGUACAGGAUGGAGCCGCGUCUGAUUAGCUAGUUGGUGAGGUAACGGCUCACCAAGGCGACGAUCAGUAGCCGACCUGAGAGGGUGGUCGGACACAUUGGAACUGGGACACGGUCCGAACUCCUACGGGAGGCAGCAGUGGGGGAUAUUGCACAAUGGGGGGAAGCAUGAUGCAGCAACGGCGCGUGAGCGAUGAAGGCCUUCGGGUCGUAAAGCUCUGUCCUCAAGGAAGAUAAUGACGGUACUUGAGGAGGAAGCCCCGGCUAACUACGUG